This is a long non-coding RNA of Crotalus tigris (Tiger rattlesnake), 2060 nucleotides long. RefSeq lists it as uncharacterized. The record is from RefSeq and is a predicted model, not a curated record. Lineage: Eukaryota; Metazoa; Chordata; Lepidosauria; Squamata; Viperidae. The transcript is spliced from 4 exons.
CGUAGGGUGGCAAAUAUCCAAAAUCAAAAAAACUUAUCCAAUUACCCAAAAUCAAAAUAUUUUGAAAAAUCAAAAGAAAAUCCUGAUUAACAGUUAGGAGAAAUAAUAAAUAAUAAAGCCCACCAACAAGUUGGGUUGGUUUAAAUAAAUGGAAUGUUUUAGCACAAAAAGCGAGAAGAAUAGAGGAGGGAAGAAAGGAUGUAGGAGUAGCAAGUGCCAAAGCACUUGGACAAAUAAAAUGGAAUUUUAAAAUAUUUUCAAAAGAGCUACAUUUGAUUUCGUACCAGAAAGAGAUGUGCCGGGAAGGAGAAAGAUUUUGCUGCUCAGUAGCCGCUGGCUUUAACUUCGAUGAUCUGGACAAUCAUCAGGAAUGGUUUCUUUUUUCAAGAAAGGCCAGUUUCAGUGAAACAGCUCCCCCCCCCCCAUGCGUUCCCUUUUCCUUCUCAGAACAGUUCAGCGCCAAGAAAUGGGCGGUGCCUGCAUGCCAGGCUUCAUCCGAAUGAGACGCCAAGGCCGACAAGAGGCUGGCAUAAAGAGAAGCUGGCACAAAUUCCUCCACUUAGAACUCCACUUCAAUAUACCCUUCAAAUAGUCUCCCUUUAUUAGCAAACUGAAAAAAACAAAAAACAAAAUCCAUGGAACCCUCCCACCCCAAGCAAAUAUCUCUAAAGUUUCUCAGUCUCUAUUGAGAACCAUUUCCAAAGGGCAAUUUCCAACCAAUACCUAUUCUUUCAACCCAUGCCAGUUAAAACAAGCAGCUCAUUCUCUCUUCUCUCUGGGUUAGCAGCCCAAGGUAUGUACAUAAAAUAAAUGUUGACUUCUACUUCCCUAACUUGAGAUGUUGAAGGCAGCAAGCUCCUUUAAAACACAGCUAAAGAUGAAAGACAAAAUGAAACAAAAAGAAAACAAACACAAAACAACCCUCUCAAGUUAUACAAGAAGCAGUUUCAUUUUGCGAAAUGUUUCUUCUGUCGGUGGCAAAAAUGGAGUUAAGAGACAUAAAUGGAGAUGAGGAUGGUUUAAAAACAAAUCAAAGCAAGCAAACAAACUACCGGGAUAUGCCAGAAGAGGACACCCUCCCUCCAGCUCCCAUUUUCCAUUUUUUCUGUGCCAGCCUUAGACAGAGAGAUAGAGAGAAAAGGGGGAAAAAAGGAAAGAAAGCAAGCGAGCGAGCGAAAGGGGCAGUGAAUAGCUGCUCGUUCAGAAAUGGGCCUACAGCCAUUUCCACUUUGGAAGCCUCAGCAGUCGUUCUCUCUCUCUCGCUCGCUCUCCCUGCAUUCUCCCUGCCCACUCUGGCUUAGCUGCCAAGUCAGAGUUGGCACUGCUUCCCAGGCAGCACGGAACAAAGCCAUUUCCCAUCCCUGUACAGGCAACUGUCAAUAAGCAAAGUGACAGUCACAUCUCCUGCAUGUUAAUCCUAAUGGACAGGAGAUGUUUGCAAGAGAAUAAAAAGCCCCUUCGCCCCUCCAAAGCCGUACAAUAAAAUCAUUUAAAAAAUAAAUAAAGGAAAAAGCCUUCUUCGUCGACCCUAUUUGGAAGGAUCAUUUAAAAAUACAGCUGUCUGCAAUAAGGAUUGGAGAGGGAACGAAGGGGGGGGGAGAUGAGGGUUUACCCACUAACACCCUGGCAAACAAGGCUGCUUUGCAUCUGUUGUACCUGUUCCUGUUGCCUUCCUUGCCUCUUGGAAUCGUGACAAGAGAGAAAAGUCGCCUCUGGUGGGUUGCUCAAAGCUGCGGGUCUGCAGCCCUGUGCAGGAAGUUGGCACCGAUCCCAGGCAGCGCAAAAGGCACCUCCAGAUUGCAGUGACGUCAUUUUCCCCUCUCUCUUCCAAGUUUCACAAAGGCUUGGAUGGAAGCAUACAUGUUGAUGUUUAUUUAUCUUCACAACCAUCACACACAUAUGAGGUGGAUUGGACUGAGGAUGUAUGACUGCUUCAAAAUGCAUUUUCAUGGCUGAGGGAAAAGACCACAAAAUGAAUGUUUAAAUGGAGAUGGGACUUGACAAGAGCAGAUUCCAUAACUCACCAUGAAGUGGAUGAGAAAUAAUUCGGGAUACACAUU